Molecule: ribosomal RNA, 546 nt
Filed under: uncultured Methylophilaceae bacterium
Lineage: Bacteria; Pseudomonadati; Pseudomonadota; Betaproteobacteria; Nitrosomonadales; Methylophilaceae
Description: bacterial SSU rRNA
Rfam family: Bacterial small subunit ribosomal RNA
Source: RNAcentral
AUGGCUCAGAUUGAACGCUGGCGGAAUGCUUUACACAUGCAAGUCGAACGGCAGCACGGACUUCGGUCUGGUGGCGAGUGGCGAACGGGUGAGUAACAUAUCGGAACGUAUCCAAUAAUGGGGGAUAACUAAUCGAAAGGUUGGCUAAUACCGCAUACGCCCUGAGGGGGAAAGCUAGGGAUCUUCGGACCUGGCGUUAAUGGAGCGGCCGAUAUCUGAUUAGCUAGUUGGUGAGGUAAAGGCUCACCAAGGCGACGAUCAGUAGCUGGUCUGAGAGGACGACCAGCCACACUGGAACUGAGACACGGUCCAGACUCCUACGGGAGGCAGCAGUGGGGAAUUUUGGACAAUGGGCGCAAGCCUGAUCCAGCCAUUCCGCGUGAGUGAAGAAGGCCUUCGGGUUGUAAAGCUCUUUCGCAAGGGAAGAAAACUUAUCCUCUAACAUAGGAUGAGGUUGACGGUACCUUGAUAAGAAGCACCGGCUAACUACGUGCCAGCAGCCGCGGUAAUACGUAGGGUGCGAGCGUUAAUCGGAAUUACUGGGCG